This 484-nucleotide ribosomal RNA is filed under the name uncultured bacterium. RNAcentral describes it as "partial 16S ribosomal RNA". It matches the Rfam family "Bacterial small subunit ribosomal RNA", at positions 30 to 507 of the family's 1533-position model. The record is from RNAcentral.
AUUGAACGCUGGCGGCAGGCCUAACACAUGCAAGUCGAGCGGAUGAAGGGAGCUUGCUCCUGGAUUCAGCGGCGGACGGGUGAGUAAUGCCUAGGAAUCUGCCUGGUAGUGGGGGAUAACGUCCGGAAACGGGCGCUAAUACCGCAUACGUCCUGAGGGAGAAAGUGGGGGAUCUUCGGACCUCACGCUAUCAGAUGAGCCUAGGUCGGAUUAGCUAGUUGGUGGGGUAAAGGCCUACCAAGGCGACGAUCCGUAACUGGUCUGAGAGGAUGAUCAGUCGCACUGGAACUGAGACACGGUCCAGACUCCUACGGGAGGCAGCAGUGGGAAAUAUUGGACAAUGGGCGAAAGCCUGAUCCAGCCAUGCCGCGUGUGUGAAGAAGGUCUUCGGAUUGUAAAGCACUUUAAGUUGGGAGGAAGGGCAGUAAGUUAAUACCUUGCUGUUUUGACGUUACCAACAGAAUAAGCACCGGCUAACUUCGUG